RNAcentral lists this ribosomal RNA (432 nucleotides) under uncultured archaeon. Its description in RNAcentral is "bacterial SSU rRNA". It matches the Rfam family "Archaeal small subunit ribosomal RNA", at positions 19 to 458 of the family's 1478-position model. The record is from RNAcentral.
GGACCCGACUGCUAUCAAAGUGGGACUAACCCAUGCGAGUCAACAUAGCAAUAUGUGGCAUACGGCUCAGUAACACGUAGUCAACAUGCCCAGGGGACGUGGAUAACCUCGGGAAACUGAGGAUAAACCGCGAUAGGUCAUCACUUCUGGAAUGGGUAAUGACUUAAACCUAUAUGGCCCCUGGAUUGGACUGCGGCCGAUCAGGCUGUUGGUGAGGUAAUGGCCCACCAAACCUGUAACCGGUACGGGCUCUGAGAGGAGGAGCCCGGAGAUGGGCACUGAGACAAGGGCCCAGGCCCUAUGGGGCGCAGCAGGCGCGAAACCUCUGCAAUAGGCGAAAGCUUGACAGGGUUACUCUGAGUGAUUUCCGUUAAGGAGAUCUUUUGGCACCUCUAAAAAUGGUGCAAAAUAAGGGGUGGGCAAGUCUGGUGU